AGAUUGAACGCUGGCGGCAGGCCUAACACAUGCAAGUCGAGCGGCAGCACGGGUACUUGUACCUGGUGGCGAGCGGCGGACGGGUGAGUAAUGCCUAGGAAUCUGCCUGGUAGUGGGGGAUAACGCUCGGAAACGGACGCUAAUACCGCAUACGUCCUACGGGAGAAAGCAGGGGACCUUCGGGCCUUGCGCUAUCAGAUGAGCCUAGGUCGGAUCAGCUAGUUGGUGAGGUAAUGGCUCAACCAAGGCGACGAUCCGUAACUGGUCUGAGAGGAUGAUCAGUCACACUGGAACUGAGACACGGUCA
RNAcentral lists this ribosomal RNA (307 nucleotides) under uncultured soil bacterium. Its description in RNAcentral is "bacterial SSU rRNA". It matches the Rfam family "Bacterial small subunit ribosomal RNA", at positions 26 to 332 of the family's 1533-position model. The record is from RNAcentral.